Molecule: ribosomal RNA, 916 nt
Filed under: Klebsiella aerogenes
Lineage: Bacteria; Pseudomonadati; Pseudomonadota; Gammaproteobacteria; Enterobacterales; Enterobacteriaceae
Description: partial 23S ribosomal RNA
Rfam family: Bacterial large subunit ribosomal RNA
Source: RNAcentral
GUAUAAUGGGUCAGCGACUUAUAUUCUGUAGCAAGGUUAACCGUAUAGGGGAGCCGCAGGGAAACCGAGUCUUAACUGGGCGUUAAGUUGCAGGGUAUAGACCCGAAACCCGGUGAUCUAGCCAUGGGCAGGUUGAAGGUUGGGUAACACUAACUGGAGGACCGAACCGACUAAUGUUGAAAAAUUAGCGGAUGACUUGUGGCUGGGGGUGAAAGGCCAAUCAAACCGGGAGAUAGCUGGUUCUCCCCGAAAGCUAUUUAGGUAGCGCCUCGUGAACUCAUCUUCGGGGGUAGAGCACUGUUUCGGCUAGGGGGUCAUCCCGACUUACCAACCCGAUGCAAACUACGAAUACCGAAGAAUGUUAUCACGGGAGACACACGGCGGGUGCUAACGUCCGUCGUGAAGAGGGAAACAACCCAGACCGCCAGCUAAGGUCCCAAAGUCACAGUUAAGUGGGAAACGAUGUGGGAAGGCACAGACAGCCAGGAUGUUGGCUUAGAAGCAGCCAUCAUUUAAAGAAAGCGUAAUAGCUCACUGGUCGAGUCGGCCUGCGCGGAAGAUGUAACGGGGCUAAACUGUGCACCGAAGCUGCGGCAGCGACACUAUGUGUUGUUGGGUAGGGGAGCGUUCUGUAAGCCUGCGAAGGUGGCCUGUGAGGGUUGCUGGAGGUAUCAGAAGUGCGAAUGCUGACAUAAGUAACGAUAAUGCGGGUGAAAAGCCCGCACGCCGGAAGACCAAGGGUUCCUGUCCAACGUUAAUCGGGGCAGGGUGAGUCGACCCCUAAGGCGAGGCCGAAAGGCGUAGUCGAUGGGAAACAGGUUAAUAUUCCUGUACUUGGUGUUACUGCGAAGGGGGGACGGAGAAGGCUAUGUUAGCCGGGCGACGGUUGUCCCGGUUUAAGCAUGUAGGCGGAGGU